CGAAGUUUAUCUAGCUCAAAGGUUAGCUCACUACUUUCGCCUCUCAACGAGGAAUAUGUGGAAUCUUUUACUUCCAGCUGAAUGUUCAAAAGUUUCACUCCUCAGCCUUUUCUUCAAUGGUUAGACAAUCCAAGUGUUGCUUUCUUUUAGAUAAGUAAGAGUCAACUUUUUUCAGAAACACAUCCAUGCGCUUCAUCAAAGGCGCUGGAUCUAUAUGGAAACUGGUAAUCACG
RNAcentral lists this long non-coding RNA (233 nucleotides) under Olea europaea (common olive). RNAcentral describes it as "long non-coding RNA (OEUR_LNC015024)". The record is from RNAcentral. Lineage: Eukaryota; Viridiplantae; Streptophyta; Magnoliopsida; Lamiales; Oleaceae.